The sequence is a transfer RNA, 98 nucleotides long. It matches the Rfam family "tRNA". From Rfam's summary of the family: Transfer RNA (tRNA) molecules are approximately 80 nucleotides in length. Their secondary structure includes four short double-helical elements and three loops (D, anti-codon, and T loops).
GCCCGGUUAGCUCAAUCGGUAGAGCGUCAGACUCUUAACAACGGGAUUUCAUCCCAGUUGCCAUCUGAAGGCUGCGGGUUCGACCCCCGCAUCGGGCU